UCAGUCAGUCAGUCAGGCAGGUACACCAGUCCGUCAGGCAGUCAGUCAGGCAGGUACACCAGUCAGUCAGGCAGGUACACCAGUCAGUCAGUCAGGCAGGUACACCAGUCAGUCAGGCAGGUACACCAGUUAGUCAGUCAGGCAGGUACACCAGUCAGUCAGGCAGGUACACCAGUCAGUCAGGCAGGCCGGUACACCAGUCAGUCAGUUGAGGAGAAACAGGAAUAAACACCUAUCCAAGUAAUGCUGGUUCAUGGUCCAAGUGUGGGGAUGUUUCAUUUGUUUAAGAUGGCUGCUCAAUAAAAAGUAGGUUUAAAUUAUUUUAGCACACGAAAGACAAACACUAAAAUCAGGCAAAUUAAAAGGUUACCAGUAGAUACACAAAUAAAAGGGACAUAUAGUCAAAUCUAGUUUACAAAAGCUAUGUUUGCUGUCCUUUUGAAAUGGUAGAAACCUGAGAAAAAGUUCCAAUCACAAGAACCCGGACUAACACCCUCCCAGCGGUGAAAAGUACUUAUGUAAAAAUACUUUAAAGUACUGCUUAAGCAGGUUUUUUUUUUAGUAUCUUUACUUUACUAUUUAGAUUUUGGGCAACUUUUAAUUUUACUUCAAUACAUUCCUAAAGAAAGUAAUGUACUUUUUACACCAUACAUUUUCUAUGACACCCAAAAGUACUCGUUAUAUUUGGAAUGCUUAGCAGGACAGGAAAUGGUCUAAUUCACACACAGUAUAAAGAGAACAUACCUGGUCA
This is a long non-coding RNA of Oncorhynchus tshawytscha (Chinook salmon), 751 nucleotides long. The record is from Ensembl. Lineage: Eukaryota; Metazoa; Chordata; Actinopteri; Salmoniformes; Salmonidae.